This is a long non-coding RNA of Gasterosteus aculeatus aculeatus (three-spined stickleback), 20982 nucleotides long. Lineage: Eukaryota; Metazoa; Chordata; Actinopteri; Perciformes; Gasterosteidae. The record is from Ensembl.
UAUAUAUAUACACACAUAUAUAUAUAUAGUACCAUACAUAUGGGUACAUACUCUGAUAAAUGGGAUAAAAUACAUUUUUAUCAAUUAUGAAUGCUUUGAAGUAUUUCAUAGAAGUUCAUAGAUAAGAUUUCUAAUCGGCUCUUGUGUCACUCUCAUACUAAAUGUAGCUACAACAUGGACAUCAAAGGAAAUGCAUUGUGAAAGAAAUGCUAUGUAAGCAUUUGAAAAUAAAUUCAAAAACCAUGUGGAAAAAGUCACUAGUUAUUGUUCAGGGCUAAAAAAUGUUUUCUUUAUGUCCCUCACUCAGCCUCCAGGAACUGUAUUGUUCUCCCAUCAUCUCUUCUUUUAUUCCAUCUCAUUCUCUUCGUCUGACUGGUGCCCUCUCUCAGCAGUGGAGGGUAAUUAAAGUGGUCAGGGCCAUUCCGUUACCCGAGGGGUGGGAGACAUAUUCAAAGGCUGGCAAGAUCAAAAUGAAAACCAAUUAGCGCUGGGGUUCUGUCCUUUUAUAAUGCAUGGAAAGUUGGCCAGCUUAUUGGCUGGCCUCUGUCUUUUGCUCAAUGUAGAGAGCGCUCCCUAGCAGCCUCGGGUUGGAUUGGGGUUAAAGUAGAAAAGGUGGAGGCGCACGAGGGAAUGGAGGAGCCGUCUGUAUCAGGAGUGAAUAAAGAGGUGCUCGUUUUGGCAUACGUGUACCAAAAGGACACAUAUGAAGUGAUAAUCUGACAUCAGAUUCAUUGUGGAUUAAGGGUGAUGUUAGAGUGACGCGUGACGUUGGCCACAAUCCUUAAAGAAUGGAAAAAAACAAUGGAGAUGAUAUAGACAGAGGAGAAGCAACUGUACAGUAAUGUACGUGAAAGGGAAAUCCUUUGAGACAAGUUAUUCAUCUAUUUAAAUGCCCAAGGGCUAGUGUGUCUUACAAUGCUUAACAUGGAUAAAUUGAAGUAAUUAGUAUGUAUUUCCCUCUGGCAAAUGUUGGAUGAUCACCACGCAUUCACUUAGUAGAUGUGGAUCGAAGUCUAAGCAGGACCCUGAUACACUCAUUCAAUGGAUUGGAAAAGAGAAAAUUUAGACCACAACAUGAUGAAAAUACCAAUAAAUAUGAUAAAAAUUCAAUGCCCAAAACUGAUGUUAAGGGAAUUAAGGCUAAAAUGAUGGUUUUAAUAACAGGCAAAGGCUCUAAACACAAAUUUUGUUUCUAGAAAAUGACAAUAAAAUAAUAUCAUGGCUCAACAUUGAUUUCUGCACAUUCAUCAAUAGCUGCUUUGGAUGUGAGCCAGGGGUUUUCCGAGUUGAUACAAACCAUUCUGUCUUAACAAAUUGACACUGUAGUUACCACUUUAGAAGCGCUCCGCCACAUUGAAGGCUUUUUUAGUAUUUCCACCCUAUUCCUAAAUAACUUGCUCCACUGUCAGUUUGCUGAAAUUAUGCCAUCUGCCCUGAUGAGGACUAUCCUGACAAUAACAAGCCCUUUGAUCAAAUUACCAUUGCGCGAUGAUAUGAAUGGUUAGCCUUUUAACUUUGAGACAUUAGUAUUAGAUCUGCUGUGGCUAAAAAAUUAUGCAAAGCUACAAAUUUCAUUCUAAAUAAAAAAGUUAAAAUAUAUGUACGGUAACUUUAAUGUUCAAUUAAAAAUGCACUGUUUGGAGUCAGAACAGUGCAUUUUUUGGACACUAAACACCCAAAAAUAUAUUGUUUAUUAUCUCAUGUCAUAGUAAUCACCCAGCUUUUACUGAAAGUCUUAAUAAUUCAUUAAACUGGAGGGUGAUACCACACCAUGCAUGUAGUUUUGUUGUUUGGAUCAUAGCACACAGGCUUUUGAUGAGGGAUUUGAUGAUGAAGGAUUUAACCUAAUAUAUAAUAUAUGAAACAAAAAAUUGGCAUUUGGUUUGCACAGGGAUCAAUUGACACAUGGCACUUUAAGCGAUAGAAGCUUCAAGUUUUUUGUUUUAGCUCUGUUUCAGCAAUUCAAUGAACGUCUGCGCUGUCACCCGGGCUUCAUGAAAAAAAUCAAUACCUUCUGAGAUUUGAAGGCCAGAGCGGUCAUGUGCCUGUGUUAUCUACCACACUUCUUAAGUGUGACUUGAGACCAAAACCCAAGACAGAUGUUGGUUUAAUCUACCCAAAGAGCAAUGGGAGUAUCUAUUCCUUUAUUUCUGAGGUCUGGGGUUUGUAACCCUCCAUGUCGUUGUGAUGGAGACGUGUUAUUUAUUUAGUCUGUGCCUUAAUUGGUUUUCCACUCUGUCCUUUGGGCAAUGUGCAGAUCAAUCUAUUCCUCAGUGGAUGGGAGGGGUGUGACUUUACUGCUACAGUUUGAUUUGACAAUUGGAACUGUAAUCUUUUAAUACAGUUGGUAUCAUAUUCCUAUUUACCAAUAACAAUGGUGAUUACAUAUUGUACUGUAUGAAGGGAUAUUCUGUUGCUAAAACCAUGUAUGUGGGAUUUAAAAAAACAAACACUUAAUGGAAAUGUUGUUCAGGCAGUCCUUAACUUAUUUGGAUUUAAACAUAUUGAAGUAUACACGAUGGGUUGUCACGACAUCUUGCACAGAUAUUUAUGAUACCCAGAGAAUAGAUUUUUAUGAACAGACCUGAUCCAUUGAAUGAUUGACAGACAUUUUGUGGGUUGCAAUGAAAUUUGAUUGGGAACUUUCAGGCUCACAUUAACUAUCUUCCAGUGAUAAUUUGAACAAAAGCUUUUUGAUUAAAAAAAAAAAAUCAAAUACUUGCAAAUAUAUUUACAUCCCCAGCUGUAAGUACUACAUGUAUAAUACAAACAAUAUUUAGUAAAUAGCAUUAGCAGCAGUUUUCACCAAACUAUAAUGUUAUUUUUCUCAGAAUCAGAAUAAGAAUCUGCUUCAUUGGCCACGUAUUCUUUUGCAUAAAUACAAAAAAAGAGAAAAAAAGUAAAACAGCUCUUACUAUAGACAUUUACCAACUUAAAAUAUGGUCGUAAGUAUAUAUCCCAAAAUGUGUACGAAUGUACAGAAAUGAAACAGCAGAGUGCAGAGUAAAGUGCAAACGGUGCAAAGAGCGGAAGCGUAGAACAGGAUCAGCAGAGCAUGCGGGGUGGAAAUUCCUGAGCUGGCGCAGAAAGUAUAACUUCUGCUGGGUCAUCUCCCCGAUGGGAUAUACAUCCCAGAAACAGUGUUAAUUUCGUCGACGAAAACUAUGACGAAAACCUUUUUUUCCAUGACUAAGACGUGACGAAAACGAUCUUAAAAAAUAAAAACUAUGACUAAAUCUAUUCUAACUUUCGUUAAUGAGACGAGACGAACAUGUUGGUGGUUGACGAAGUCACAAUACUUUUUUCCCCCUAAAUUCGCACGCAGCUAACAGACAACAGACAGGCAAAGUACGGCGGUUAUUAACGCGUCAUGAUGACGUCAUCCACGAACCCAGAACGCUCGGUCGCAUCGGUGCAGCGGUGGUUCUUGUGCACCAACUACGGACCACGGCAACUAUUUUACGCUUCGGCGAGUUUGAACGUGCGCUUUGUUAGUGUAGCUCAGCUGUCUCGGUUAAGGUGACUGUUAGCAGGCUGAAGUCGCGCUACUUCACAGAAACAUGAAGACCUGUUUAUCAGGCUGUCGGACCUUUCUGCUCUGUUCUCUGGCGACGGCAGGCAGCGUUUCCAGGGCUGGAUGAGACUGUCCGUUACAGGCUUCUCCAAACACGUCUAACGUAAUAAACUCAUUGCAGGUUCUGAAGCCAAGAAAAUAAUGUAUUGCAACGAUUGUAGGACGUUAAGGUCUCUUUUGUUGGGACAGUGGAAACAAUAAAGGACCAUGAAGUUUCCGGUGGCCAUGUCAAAAGCAUUGCAAGUAAACAGACAAAGUGUUGCGUUUAGGUCCCUGGUCCUCAUGAAGUUGUUAUACCUUUGCCAAUUUGUUAAAUUGCCUUGCAAAUAAAUGCUUUGCUAUUUGUUAAAAUCCAAAUCCUUUAAUGUAAUGAUUUUUCACAUGUCAUUUACAUUAGCUCACACAAACACUUCAACCAUUUGUUCUUGGCCCGGCUCCUCCUUCAAAUUUUACAACCCAUUGUGGCCCGCGAGUCAAAAAGUUUGCCGACCCCUGCUAUAGACCUGUCCUAGGAGGGACAUCUAAUGGACAACCAAGUACUGCAAGCUAUUAUUUAACUUGCAGUACUACAUACAUACUAUACAUACUAUUAUGCAGUUGUAGACACAACACAGGGGGUCCCUGGGCCUUAGAAGGGAAGAAACAGUUUAAUAUGGCUAUUAAAUGUGAAUAAAACUAAUUACAUUUUUGUCUAUUUUUCGUCGACGAAAACAUAACAUAACGAAAACAUAGACUAAAACUAAGAAGGAUUAAAAUGACUAAAUGUGACUAAAACUAAUAUGCAUUUUUCGUCUGAAGACUAAAUCAAAAAUAGCUGCCAAAAUUAACACUGCCCAGAAACCUGAAGGUCUCCACACACAACACAGUGUUGUUGAGUAUGAUGGGAGGGGGCAAUGUUCUGUACAUUACUAUUUUGAUUAAUCAAUGAAUCUCAUAAAAAAAGCAUUAAUUUCCAACCCUUGCUUUUAAAAACAACAUCUACAUGACUUUUUGAGUGGCGUAAUAGUCGCGUGACACAACAAAUGAAUAAUGAAAUCUAUUGCCAACUCUUUUCAUUUCUAAUCAAAUUUCAUCCAUUUUAUCGAUUCCUUGUUGCAGCCCUGAUUGUGUCUUCUGCAUACUUCAGAAGUCUGACAUUUGGGUCCUCAAAGGUGUAGUUAUUGUUGUUGAGUAGUAAAAUAAGUUUCAGGCAGGUACUUCUCAAUCAGCAAUCCAUCCAUCCAUUGUCAAACCGCUUAUCCUGCACACAGGGUCGCGGGGGGGCUGGAGUCCAUCCCAGCCAACUUCGGGCGAUAGACAGGGUACAUCCUGGAUUGGUCGCCAGCCAAUCAGCAACGGUAACUUCAAAAUAUGUAUUCCAAAAUCAUUUAACACGAUAGAAAGGAAAAGGCCCAUCCACUGCGUUUUUGGUAAUUACAGUACUUUUAGCCCCUCUAGCUUUUCAAAAUAUCAGCUGUUUAGAGGCUAAACUGAAGUAGUUCUCUCAAACAUAAUCAUCUUCACCAAAAUGACUCACAAAAAAGCUGGAUGCAUGAUAUCUGUCAAACAACCACUAAUUUAUAUUAUUUGGUUUGAACGUUUUGACACAGCAUUCCAUCACAUUUAUGUCUAAAUUGGACCAGGAUGGGAUAACCUGCUCAAGCGUACGCUCAUACGGGUGUUUUGAAUUUUUUAAAGAAAACUGGCCGAUUCAUAAGUGGAGAAGCUGAUUGAAUUGGAAACAAAUUUAACCGCCCCCUUGUUAUUAUGAAUAAUGUGUCAUCAGUCGUCUUGUGUCUUUCCUGUCCAUCCUGCAAAUCAAUCAGCAGCUGAAGUGGUCAGUAUCGCUUUAAAACUGAAACAGGGAUGGCUAAAUGGGGCCCAACAUAAUUUGAAAACAAGCCAGAGUUCAUGAUGAGGAAAGAGGGGGGGGGGACAUCCAUUCAUUCAGUGUCUGUCUUGCAAAUGGCUUUCCCUCAUCCGCCCAUGAAUGAGGAUGCACAAAAGGGUUAUAGACCAAUAUAUUACCCUCAGGAAUUUAGUGGUCGAAGUGGCUCAAGCAGCUGUGCUUUUGACCGCAUCAUAUUUACAAAAUUUGCCAACUUACCACUGACUGAGUGGAGGAGUCUUGCAUUGUGCACAAUCAAACACUAUGUAAUCUAAUGCAAUGUUUUCUUUCAUUUUAUAAUUUAAAAUAAAAAAUAAAAUAAAUCUCAAAAAGGAAAUUUCAUCAAAAUUCAUAGACAAACAGACAAUAAUGCAUACAGAAAACCAAUACACAGCAAAAGAAGACUGUACGACAUUAGACUAGAGCAACUGUAACAGGCUGCUGAAAGUGUCAGGCAGAACACACACACCUACAGUGGAAGCACAUAUACCGUGUACCACUGAAGCUCAUAUACAUACAUACACAGACAGAAGAGAAGAAAAAUAGCAACACUGAGCAAGUCAAGUGUAGAUAUAGGUGGCAGAACAGACACCACACCUGAGUGUCAACAAGCCAAUCCCUAAGGUUGUAUUUGUUGCGGCACAGCAUUCCACGAGUGAGCUGCCUUCACAGAGAAUGCCAAUUUGCUAAACAAGCUUGUGUGAAAUAACAUAAUCACCUCUUGAAGCACAUCUAGUAAGUCUGAUGCUUUCACUGCUUUGUUUAAUAUAAUCACUAAGUGGAGUUGGAGCAAUUCCAUUAGAUUCCCAAAUUUAAAAAAAUAGACACACAGUGAAUUUAAUGAGGUCCUUCCAACUCAGGAUAUGGUGUUUGACUGGAGGUGCAGCUGUUGGUGUACAGGGAGAAGAGCAGAGGGGAAAGAACGCAGCCUUGGGGGGAACCGGUGCUGAUGGUCCGAGAGGCUGAGACAUGUUUCCCCAGCUUCACGUGCUGUUUCCUGUCAGACAGGAAGUCUGUGAUCCACUUGCAAGUGGAGUCGGGCACGUGCAGCUGGGAGAGUUUGUCCUGCAGCAGAGACGGGAUGAUGGUGUUGAAGGCAGAGCUGAAGUCCACAAACAGGAUCCUGGCGUAGGUUCCUGGGGAGUCCAGAUGCUGGAGGAUGUAGUGGAGGGCCAUGUUGACAGCAUCGUCCACAGACCUGUUGGCUCUGUAGGCGAACUGCAGGGGGUCCAAGAGGGGGUCGGUGAGGGACUUAAGGUGGGUCAGGACUAGCCGUUCAAAAGACUUCAUGACUACAGAGGUCAGGGCGACGGGCCUGUAGUCAUUGAGUCCUGUGAUCCUGGGCUUCUUGGGAACAGGGAUGAUGGUGGAGGCCUUGAAGCAGGCUGGUACGUGGCAUGUCUCCAGGGAGGUGUUGAAGAUGUCAGUGAACACCGGAGACAGCUGGUCAGCACAAUGCUUCAGGGUGUGAGGGGAGACGGAGUCCGGACCGGCUGCCUUAUGGGGAUUUUGUCUUUUAAAGAGCCGGUUAACGUCUCUAUCCAGAAUAGAGAGGGUCGUUGCUGGUGGGGGAGGUGAAGGUGAUAUAGAUGAAGAGGCGUGAGCACCUGAUGGGCUGGGGGAGGGAGGGGAGGGGGACUGCAGCAGGUUGGUGGAGCUGUGGGGGAUGGGAUCAGGACAUUGUCUUUCGAAUCUGCAGUAGAACUCAUUCAGCUCGUCUGCCAGGCGGAGGUCAUUCAUGGAUUAGUGAGGUGUUUGAGGCCUCUCCAGACCGAAGCAGAGUCACUUGCUGAGAACUGUUGUUGGAGUUUCUCAGAGUACAGUCGUUUAGCAUCUCUCACCGCCUUGCUAAACUUGUAAUUUGACUCUGUGUACAGACAAAGUCUUUGUCCCCACUCCUAAAUCCGCAGAGAAACGUCUCCGUGAAGCACAAAACGGAGGAUGUAGAGAAGUCUCUGUCUCUCCUCACCAGCAGCUGAAUUUCGUCUAGUUUGUUGCACAGUGAGCGCACGUUGGAGAGAAAGAUGCCUGGCAGUGGUGUGCGAGAACCACGCUUGCGGAGUCUCACCAGCCAGCCGGCCCGUUUUCCUCUCCUACGGCGUCUCACCACGUGACGAAAGGUGAGCGCACCUUUGACUAUAAUGUCCAGUAAUUCCACGGAAGAUAGCAGGAAAGUUGAAAGUAACUCCGCUGGAGUUGUUCCACGGAUUUUCAAGCGCUCUUAACCUUAUCUCUAAGGCUGAGCCGAGCCACCUUACAGAGGAAACUGGUUUUGGCCGCUUCUAUCCGCAAUCUUCUUUCUUUGGUCAUAACCCGGACUAGAAGCUCCCAGUUUCGCUAAAAUACAAUAAAAUCCUAGGUGACGGAUGGGAGUAAACGUGACAGCAACAGACGCAGUGCAGGUCUUUUUUAAAAUCUCCCUCCAUGAAUCCAACCCGCAAAUGACGGCUUGUAUAAGCAAGCAGGGACGCAAGGAGGUGUGAAAAGACAUGCAAGGGUCUGUGUCGCUCCGAAAACGCACAAGCAUAAACUAGGCUUAAGGUACAAUAUUUUAGCUCGAUAAUAGUGUUUGCUCUAAAAAAAGAAACCUGCAUUAUGUAUUGUCCUUCUGUUCUGUAAUUUAUGCUCUACACGUAUAUCUAUAGAGGAGGUCAAUGCUGUCUAUCCCAAUAGGAGAUAAAGUGUAUGGGUUGUGAAUGUCUGUGUCUGUGGCAGAAUUCAAACAAAAAACCCAUGUCUCCUCUCCAUUCCUCUUUAGUUACCUGAACAAAUUGCAGCCACAAGCACAGACUGCAAGACACACUGUCAAAAGGUGCCUGAAAAGUUUGGAGCAAAAUUAAAUUGAGCAGGGAACAAUGCAAACCCAUUCCCCCUGUCAAAUCGGACAUGAUUUGAUUUUGUGCUUCCCACAAAGAGAAAUAACUACAAAAGGUUAACCAUGUUUGCAACCAAGAGAGGCCCUUUUUCAUAGAAAUUUUGACACAUUCCAUGAAACCUGUUCCACCGGAUAGGUUAAACAGAAAGUAAGUAAGUUAUUUUACCACAGGCUAUGUAUGAUAAGAAACUCUGUGCAAUGUAAUAAUUUCUCCACUGGCGAGUCUGCCACACUAUUGUUAUACACACACACCAUAUUUUCAUUAGGCGUACAACUAAAGCAGUUGAGUUUUUCUGAUACAUUCGCUCUCUUUAGCUAAAAGCCUCAUGCUACAGGCGUGAUGGCUGCACAAGGUUCUCCAGAAAUUUCUCAAAAGAUAUAUAGAUAAUAUCGCACUGAUACCCAGGACCUUUUUAGUGACUAUUGCUCUUAAAAAAAGUUAAUAAAACAUGAUACGUUGUUGGGGAACAUUUCUUCACAAAAAGACAUUUUGGUUGAUUAGACCCUAGUUGAUUUGAGGUUUGGUUCUUAGGUGUUCAAAUUCUAAUGAAACCUACAGCAGCCGUUUGGUUGAUGAAAUUAGCCCACAUCAUACAGCUGCUGUGACACAAUUCUGAAAACCGGCCCCAUCCAAAGACUCUACCCAUUGCUGCUUCAUUUUUUUCUAUUAGAGCAAUAUUUCUCUGCAGUUAAAUAAUGUAAGUCCCCGCUAGUCGGAUUAGUCCAGUUUUCAUUAUUGCAAAUCGAUUUUUUUUUUUCAUUAAGGUAAAUGCAUUAUUUAAACUUUGUUUUUAGUCUGAGAAUAUCUCCUGAGAGUAUGUGAUUUUUGACAGCCGUGCCCUGCGUAUCAUACAUUGGUUAAAAAAUCAUAGAAUACACCUUUUACUUUUGGGAAAUUUAGCAGCAACACAGGAAAUUUCAGAGUUAGGAUCACUGAAAUGUGAAUGACACUGGAUGAAAUGCGUGUGUCUCACGGCCAAUGCAUGAGACUACAGAACCUUGCAAUGAGUAUUUUUAGAUGUGUUUUGAGAAGACUACUGUAACGGACUGUCUCAUCCAGCAAAGGAAGCGCUCGUAAGCCGGUCCGCAUGCAUAUCUCUGCUUGCGGAGCGUCCUGCCGAACAGCCCUGAGCUUCAUCUCCAAGCACAUCUUGAACCGGCGACGCUUAACUCUCUGAAGUGCCGCGGAUAUAGCCUGCUAGCGAGACUGAGGAAGCGUGGACUCAGUCGCUUCAACGUCAAUGCGGUCCGUAGUCGGUGCACAAAAAACACUCUCGGUCCACCAAUGUAACCGAGCAUUCUGGGUUUGUGGAUGGUGCACUAACAGAUUAAUAAUUUCCCUCACCCCUGAACCCCCAGGGUGGGAACUCCUUUGGCCUCUAGGGCAACACUGAAGGGACAUACUAUCUCAAACAGAAAACACUCAACAUCAGUCACUACAAUAAAAAACUAUAGAAAGAGAUAUAUGGAAUUCUACCGGCCAAAGUGGUUAGUAGAAAUGACUGCUUUACCCGCCACAGCCACAUUUGGCGGGUGGCUAAUGUCAAGCCCUGGCUAUGACACUGUAGACCAUGUGCAAAAAGUUGUACUGCUUUUAGCUUUUAGCAUUCCAACGCAUUUUCAGCAGAAGAAGAAAACUCUUUUAGAAAAGAUGCAUUGUUGUGAUGGGACAAAUAUUGCAAGCCAAUUACAAAAAGCUUUCAAAAAGGUCUCCAAUGUGAUCAUGGCCUGAAGCUAGGUUUGCCCCUGUUGACAUUUCACAUGACCUUUUGAUUGAGUGUCAACAGCAGAACAUUGCCUGUGGUUAUUUAAGUCUUGAAUCUUAUGACUUUGCAUGCUUAGAAUAUAUUUUCAGCCACAUUCCCCGGCCUGGUCUUGGAUGAUGGAUGAUAAUUGAUACAACUAACUCACUAAUAGCGUCAAAGUGACUGAAAAGUACUUGAGCUGACAGAGACAUGUUAUUGUUUUACACCCCAGGAACUAGAUUCUCACGAACACAGUUUCUACUCUUGUGGAAUUAGCCCACCUUCUAUUACAGUGCAGUAAACUCAUUGUAACUUGACAACAGGAAAACCCGAGAGGGAGCAGUUUUACAUUAAUGCAUGAGCAUUGACUGAAUGAGUGCUACUAUUUUUCGAGUCCUGAUGUAAGCUUUUAUUUUGACUUGGAGAAAGCUGACGUUGGGGACAUGAACAACGGCCACUACAGGCUUGCUUCCGAAGUCAAAGUGCUAGACACUCACCCAGGGGAUAUUAACCAGGUAUUUGAAUUAAACAUCUGCAGAAAUAGCUGCUGGACAACUAGAGUUCUAUAAAAUCCCUUAUGGUUUUCCUAAAACUAUGAAAAGCAUAGUUUUUCUCCUCUGCAAAACCAAAAUUAAAAUUGCCAUUUGACUGAUGCUAUGGUGCUGGGAUUAACCCACUUGCUAUCCUUCAGUGAAGGAAAAUUAAGGGAAAUUAAUGUGACCAUUUAUCAACAACAAAUUAAGUUGGUUGUUCUUUUCUAAAUUAUCUACAUAUCUUUUAUUCAUGUUUCCUAUAUAUUUAACGUCUAAUAAAAAUGUGUGUAACAUAAAACUAUUUUGCUUAAGUCAGGAAAGACUGUGGACAUUUAAAGGUUAAUGAUGACUAUUGUCACACCUGUAUGUCAAGUUGGGUUUCUGUCCUGUCUCCAUGGUUGUUUUGUGACUUCCUUUUUUUUGGGGAAAUUAACUCUCCUCUCGUUUCAGGUUCCUUGCCCUUCCUCAUGUGUCACCAGUCUGAUUGUCUUCCCUGAUUCCUGAUUGUGUCCACCUGUUCCCACACUUCCAUUACCGGCCAUUACCCUGGCGGACCACCUGGCGAUGAACCCCAGCGAGCAAGCGGACCGGGGGGCGUCAUUUUGGGAACAGAAUGGCCAGACAGCCAGGCUGCGGGGGUGCGUUCGCGACCUUCAGGGUCAUGUGGUAUGUGUGCUGUGGUCAGUGGUGACGCGAGGUCAUCCAACGCUGUCUCGGGACGAUACUCGCUCAGCCUACGACCAAGUGAUAAGAAUUGAUGGUCAGCUGGCGCGCCCUGACACAGCGCAGUCAUAUCCACACUUUUCAUUGAUUAGAGACAGACCACAUAGAGUGAGUCUUGACACUUGGACGGGGCAGGAAAACACCCAGUUGCUAGUGCUGAAAAGCUGCCGGGAAAUUAUUUUCCAGGCGGCUCACUAUAACCCAAUGGCUGGUCAUAUGGGGUACGGGAAAACACUAGACCCGAUUUUAUUCGGGGGGACGCGCGCCGCUGGUGUGCGUCUGCCCGGAGUGUCAAUUAGUGAACCACCCGGCCAUUCUGGGGGCACCGUUGCGUCCUCUACCAUUGGUGGAGGCUUCGUUUGAACGAAUCAGCAUGGACCUCAUCAGGCCAUUUCACCGGAGCGGACGCAGAUAUCGCUUUGUGUUAGUCUUUGUGGAUAACGCAACCCAAUAUCCAGAGGCAGUGCCGUUGCGCAAUAUCUUUGCAAAAAGUGUCGUGCAGGCUCUGUUUCAGGUCAUUUCCCGGGUUGGAAUCCCAAAAGAGAUUCUGACGGACCAGGGCACCUUCAGGAAAAGGGAUACGGAACUUCACUCUUUUCUGUUAAAGAAGAGCCUUCACGGGGAUAAAUGCUGUUCGCUUCUUGUUGACAGUGGCGCUAUACUCCGGGUAGAAGACAACUCGUCCCCCGCGGCAGUUUUGACCCGUCUCACUCAGUGUGCGUUCCUUGUCCUGGUAAUAUUGAAAUUUCAACAUCAGAAUUCUCGAUUUGGAGUUGUGCAAAGAUUUAAAUCUGCAAAGAACUUGGCGCUGUGUUCCGAAAUCUGUAUUAGUCUGUUGUUGGUUGAUUAAGCACUCUAUUUAUGUGUGUCUUUUGACAUCUCCCACAGUGCUCCCUGCAAUAGGGUGUUGUAUGAGACAAAACACCAUUUGUGAUGAAGAGACACCUUUUAGAUGUGGAAUACAAAGCAUUUUUCUUUCUUGUACAUCUGCACCCCACUCUUCCCCCCCGCCUCGCCAGCUUCUCUAAUAAUCACUCUUUGCCUCUCUUUCUUCAGAUAGAAAGAAAAAGAGUAGCCCUGCUUGGCUUGUGCAGGUUUUCUUAUUUUCCUGGAGUCCCUUUGAUAUGUAAAUUAAAUGACUCCACUCACAAUCCCAGUGUUAGUGGUUCUGGCACUUUCUGCCUUAUGAAAAAAAAAGAAAAAAAGGUAUUGUCAAGAGAGAGGAAUAGAAAAGCCCCAACCACUGUCGGAUGAUUAUAGCAGGCCCUUUUGCUGAGCAUUAUUGAAUUUGAUAUGUCCACCAGCACAAAGGGAACCCUUUUCAAAUGUGUUCUUUAGGGAGAAGAUUUUGACAAAUGCCGGCUGUGUCUCAAAGGUCCCUUUGCUGCAGUUUCUGAAGAGUAAAUUUGGCUCACCCACCAGAAAAGUGACACAUUGUGACUGUAAAGAAUACAAAAUAAACCCCAAAGACCUAAUGAUCACAUUGGAUUGGGGGCACUUGAAAGCCGUCAAAGAACUUGUUUGGAUUUAUAAAUCUUAAUCCUCGCUCAACCACAGUGACAGCAGAAAAGAGAAGGUUUACACAACAGCUUCCCAAACAGAGUCACUUAUGGCUCCACAAAGAGGUCCGAUGUAAUGCAUUGCACGUAGUGAUAUCAUCACAGCUGGAUAAGAAUUGACAGCCACUGUGCCAGUGCUUAGCUGAUGAAACAUAAUUUGACUUGUGGGCGGGCUUUUUCAAGAAAAGUAAAGAAACUGAAACAAAGCAAAGCCUUCAGGGAGGUGACUUAAUUUUCCUAUUCACUUAAAGGUCUUUACUGUAACCUAUUUUAUUACUAAACACAUUAUUACUUUGAUAUGAUGACAUAGAUCAUUUUUGCCCUGGAUCAACGUGAUUAUCUACUGAAGACGGUCCUGUGUGAAAUAUCUUCAGACUUAUUAUUUCAGUUAAUUUCUACAUAUUAAUCAAGUUUCCCCCAAAAAAAUCUGCAGCAAGAACUGUGAUUAUGUUAACUGUUUGUUUUGUCCUGCUGGUUUUUAAUUUUGAGGGGGACAAGCUAGAAGUGUGAUAAUGAAAAGUUAUCUACUCUUGUUAAGCCACACCCCUACGGAGAAAGCCAUUUAACAUUUCCUCUGCAAACCUUAAUCACCACUUUCAAUCACAAUGCACAAAACAACAUAAACAAGCGAGGGUUAAUCAUGACCUGUUGCUGGCACCGUCAGGUGAAGUGUAAACAAACCGUAGGGAACAUAAUUAUAGGAUGACACUGUCGGAUCACGUUGCAUCCAUUCCACUAGCAUUGCUGUUGUGCUGUCAGCAGUUGAAAACCAACUCUGAGGCAUAAAUGAAAAUCUACCAGCUGUGUCUCUUAAGCAGGAUGUCACGAACGGACAAUGGACCUGAACCCAGAUGCACGACCACAAAAAUCAAGGUUCAAAAUCAACGUUUAUUGCAAAAGACCAAAAAUAAUAAUCGCUCUUGGAAGACGAAAAACCCUUUUACAACAAAAAAUGAUCUAGAAACUAAACGCUAGGCUAGAAAAAGAACCAACAUAAAUCAAGCCUGAACAAAGUACAAAAAAGUAACAAGACUUGGGCAACGCGGGUUCUCUUAUCACAAGGGACAAGACAAUAUACAAACACACACACACACACACACACACACACACACACACACACACACACACACACACGGGGUAAGGGUACAGGUGGAAACAAUCAGGGAAGGAGCAGGUUGCCUGAAAUGAGAGGAAGGUUAACUUUCAAAAUAAAAGAGGAAACCACGAAACAACAUAAGACAUGAGACAACCUGAUUCAGCAAUAAAACUGGCUCUCAUUAAGAACCGGCAGCGCAAGUGAACACUGCACACUCUUUAUAUACUUUAUAAUAUCUAUAAAGAAACAAGAAACUAACUGUUCGUCCAUCAUAAUCAUAGUAUAAGACAUUUCACUUCACAAUAGACUGAAGACAUUUAAUUAUAAUUUAGAAAUGCACCACUUUGAAUUAAUGUGAUGAUAAUGUGCACGUCUGAAGUAUCAGGUCUAAAAGAAAGAUAAAUACAUAAUUAGUUUCUUUACCUUUUCUAAUUUGUUAGUCUCUACGGCAUCAUACGAGGUCGGACCUCUUAACUUUCUCGUCACAUUUGUGUAACUGCUGCAGCAGCACCAUGUAAAACAUGCAAAAAGAGAGCGAUGUUUACUGUAUCUUCUGCCAUCUAUUAUCAUUGUAAUAGAUUCUGUAUCUCAAUCAUCAUCUUUUAUGUGGUGAGUCAGUUUAAUAAACAAUAAGACACUGUGAAAGAUGUCAUUGAAGUUAUUGAAAUCCUUCUCAGAUUAGAUGUCAGGAAAACAUAUACACCCGAAAUCAGAGCAGCACCAGCAAAAUGAUUGACACGCAGCAUGAAACCUGUUGUAUCCCGAUGCAUAAACAUACAAUCAUAAUCAACCUCCACUGUUGAAGAAGGUAUUUUGAAAGUCAAAAUGAAACCAGGACUGUUCGAACUGCCUCUACACUGCAAACUUUUUUUCACGCUUUGAGCAAAACAUAAUCAUUUUAGAAACUGAAACUAUUUGCAAAAAAACAACAAAAUCCUAGGAUAUAAAUUGAAAAACUAACGUAAUAACUGUAAAACAACUACAUAUAAAUGUAGUAAACAGUUUCUGACUGGAAUUUGAUUUUUAGAACGUUAUAGUUUUAAUAUAUCUAUAGAACAAAUAAAAUAAGUGUAUUUGGGAACAUGCAACACCUUUUUGCGUUGUGAAAGAAAAUGCUCCUGGAAGAAUUUUCUGUCUGUUUGCUCGCCUGUGCAUGCUCAGGGUGGAAGGUGUUUGUGGGGGUGUUAACUGUACUUCACCAUGAAUUGGAAGGCAGAUUUCUUAGAUGAACAAAAGGACAGACGCUUUUGGAAGAAACACAAUGGCUUCCGCAGUGUCAACAGACUGCUAGAUGAACUUGUCCAUUACUUGGCAUUGUGUGAAAUGUCACAUGACAGUGCUAUGUGUCUUCGUGAAAGGAUAAUCACUGAGUAACACAUUUCCUUUACAACAUCUUUCUUUUUUAAUAUUAUUGUCAAGUCUUUGAAUUGAAUCAUUUUUGACGAAUGAUGUGCGUGAGGUUAGAAGAGGGUUUUAUUUCUCUAAAUAUGGUAAUAAAACAGAUCUUCCAUUUGGCCUUCAUGGGGUCACUGAAAGUCCAAUCUCUUUGCAGUGUGGUGGUUUGGACAAACUGUUGAUUUAUCAGCAAGCAGGCAAAGAAACCUUGUUCUGUCUAUCAAAUUUCUCCACUCCGUUUCAGCACUACAGACAGUACAAUAUGUACUAGUGAGAAGGGAACAAUAAAAGACAUGACUCAUCAAUCAGUCAACGAAAGAAGGCAUGCUCAAUUAGAUUCCAUAUUAAUUACCACUCCAGUCGCAUGCCUACCAGAGUUCUUUCAAUUGUAAAGUCUUUUACAAGGGGAUGGCUUCCCUAAUGUCAAACUACAAUGUACUUCAUAACCUCCUGGUCUGUAAAAUUGUACAAAUACGUGAAUGCUCAAGAACUCAAGGUAUAUUUUAAUGCAUCUACAAAAGAAGGUAAAAAAGAAAAGGUUAUUCUUUUGAUGAGACUUGAACUGUGGUAGGUCCCCUCAGUGCCCAUAAACGCAUUCGAUAGCUGGGUCUAUUGUUUUUGAUCGGAGUGGAGAAAAAAAGAAUCCUUCACACACGCACUUAAGAUAGUAUAACUUGGAAGUGCAUGCAAUUCUCCUCUAGAGAAAUUCGUUUUGUUUGAUUAUGGCUUAUGAAACCACAACAUAUUCAAGCAGUUAUCUCAGGCAUCUGUCAGCAUCUGUCCCCAGCAGUAUCAACCUCAUUCUGUCAUAAUGUCAUAAAGAUCUGGAGCCCACAAAUACUUUGUAAAGAUUUACCUGAAUAAUCUUUUAGUGUCCUCUAUUGGUUCAUCCGUUUUUUUUCCGGAGGUUUUAUUUUCUUGGUUUGUGGUUUUCUGUUGUGUGUUUUUCCUUGUCUUAUCUUUUUCAUUCGAUUUGGAGGACACAUUUGAUCUAUCCUUUGCGGCCAAGUAUAUCCCAUCAUGAAGUGCGGGCCAACGAGGAUUUCAUUUGGUUCAAAACGGAGGCAGUUGAUCUGACAGCGGGGGAAGUGUUCACUUUAAAAUGUAACGUUAAUUAUAGAAUUCCCUUGAAUAUAGAGGUUAUGUCAUAUUAUAAUAAUAAUAUGAAACAAUUCCAUCUUAGUUUAUAAAAUGGCAUAAGUUACGUGACGUUGGUAACCAAUGUUGUGUUUUAAAUACACAUAACACAGGAGAAUACACAGCUCUUAGUUAUAACGUUAUCCUGCUUCCCCCGAUUCUGUCCCAAAAAGCAAUGUGAAUGAAGAUUUUGUUUAUUAAGGAAGGAAAUGGGUGAGCCGGGAGCAGAGGAAGUCAGAGUUCCCUCACUACGGAUAAACAUGUUUUAAUGUAUAAUGUCAUAACAAAGUUUUAGUUUAAAUAUAUAGUUUUUCAAUACACAUUUGAGAACAAACUGUUUUUAGGUGUUACUCCGUCACGGUAGCGGAAAGCUUGAUUUUUAUUUGCUAAUACAGCUAUUUUGAAUCCGUUUCAGAAAGAAAACCCUUCUUGUCCUCUUCCUCACACCUCCUAGCUCUACUUUACUUUUCUUCUACGCCUUUCCCCUCCUUUUCUUGCCUUUUGUCCUUCCCCUCACAUCCUUUUCUUUCUUCUCCCUCUUAAUCUCUUCCCCAACCCUUUGAUUUCCCGCCACACUUGCACCACUGUUCUUCAGUCAUAUCCCUCUUCAAGAUGCAAUUGGUGUCAAUCAUGUUAUCGUGUGCGCUGACAUUGCAGCCCAAUCCGUCAAUUUUUUUUGAUACGUAUUACAUAUGUAUGUAUAGCUUCCACUCACAAAAGGACAUGCAGUGUUUUUUUCUACGCCCAGCAGGACUAGAUGCUGUGGAAAAUUUUAAUUUGUAAGCAAAAAAAAUGCUGUUCAAAACUAAAUCUCCCUACUUUAAAAGGGCCAUUCAGUACACUCAAAUUAAGUGUGUUAUAAACAGAAAAAUAGCCUUGCUACAUUUGCAAUGUUGUGUGUUUGUAUUGUUAACAAAUGUUGCAAACAAAAAUUGUAUUGCUGAAUUUGUUGAAACAUCUGUGUUAUUUACUUUGGAUGAAAUUACCAGCCAUGUUACCAGUGACAAGUUAGCACCAGUUCUAAUCAGCGAGAACGAGGCAGAUUUCUGAGUUACGAAUGUGGUUUCAGAAGACGGCUUUAAGAUUAUUUAUUUUUUUACAAGGCAGGUUGAGGGAAUGAAAACAAUAAAGUAAACUACAGUAUGUCAUCACAAAACCAAUAACACAAACAACAAAGAAUAUUGGCUUGGCUUAUGUAAAAAUGUCUAGGAGUAUUUUUUUAACAAUGGUCAAUUAACUUUGACCAGUUUUCUCAAUGCAAAGUAACAUUAACAAAAAGAAAACCAGUCUCUGGACCCCUACAGUACUGAUGGAUUUCAGAAGGGAAAAUGCAAUUCAUUAAUCUCUUAUCAUUUCCAUCACAUCACUAGCGGAUGACUCUAAUUGCAGCAGAUCCGAUUUUUUCUUUGUUUUUAAUUAAGACCUAUUGCCACCUCAUUCAUCAUCCAGGUGAGCAACCAACCUACACACUCCUUACCUGUCCUUCUUACAUCCCCUCUUCAACGGGACGGACCCCUCCCUCCUCUCUUACAUAACCCUCAAUUUUUUUCUCUCCAUAUUCCUUUUCAUCAUCUUCUUCACUCCCCUUCUUUUUGGAACACCCUUACUCUUCCCUCUUCAUCUCAUUCAUCUCUCCUCCAUUUCCCCUCCCUGCUUGCCUUCCUCCCUCCUUCCAACGUGAUCUCCAAAACCUGUCCGUAAAAAUGUAUACGAAAAUCUUGAACAUACAAAUUCGUAACAAUACAUACGAACUGGCGGUGGUUAACCACGCCCCUUGAGUGAACAACAUGGCGGACCAUGUUGGAUUCUUGAGUGAACGUCUCUCCGCCAUGUUGGAUUUUUUCGUCCUCUUACCACCAAGCCUUUGAAAUCUAGAUCAUUACCUAUGUGCUCUACUCACCCUCAAUGACUUUCUAAUUUUCCUUCCAUCAUUCUCUUCAUCCGCCUAACAUUCAUCCACCUCGUUUGUCAGCUUCACCGUUAUCACAGCAUUGUUGUCCAAACAAACCGGAGAAGGCCCCACAAAGCUGGAGUUCUCCCCUCCUAAUCCACCACUUCAUCCCUCUGUCUCUCCAAUGCUCCCGCUCAUUAUCUCCUCUGCAACGGUCCCCAUGGUGAUGGAGCAGAUGGAAAAAUCCAGGACAUCCUCGAGAAGUAGUGAUAUCUUUUCAGAAAAAGGAGAGUGAGACCAAUAUAGAGAAAGGAGCCACAUAAUGGAAUGAGAAAUAGGAGAGAAGUGGAGAUGGAGACCGUGGCAAAAGAAGAUGAAUACUGAAUACUUCAACAGAAAUGGAGAAGAAAAAUAUCAGGGGGUGGUGGAGAGAGAUGAUGACCUAAAAACAAAGACGCUCAAAAAAAGUAAAAGAGAAUAGAGAAGGAGGGUGUAAUAACUUUGUGAGUAGUACCAUUAAAAUGUAAUAUUGAAAGCUUGUGCUAAUAUAAAAUGGAUAUUGUACUUGGAAGUGCUUUAUGUGACAUUCAAAGGCUAAAUUGUACCAUAAUCACCAAAGCAAGCAAGAGUGAGUGGAUUUUGUUGUGAGAAUGUCGCGUUGUUAAAUACUAAUUUUCAAACUGCUUAAUAAUUGGAGACCAUCUGCCAUAAAACCUCAAUAACAACCCUGCUACGAGCACAAUGUGAGCUUAUUAUGGCUUGUUACUCAAGCAGAACAUUGCUUACACUGCAUGUCUUCACUUAAAGUGGAUUAAUUCUGAUUAAUACAUCUAUUCAGAAUGACGACCGUGGCAUUUUAGUUUCCUUUUUUUUGGUUUUCAAGUCCUCGCCUCUUCUGUCUUCUCUUGAUUACUUUCUACCAUUGUUUGUUUCCCUGCCUUUUGGUUACCCGUCUGUGAGAUUGUUUUUCUUUUGUUUUCAUUAAUACCUGUGAACUACUUGUCUUUUUGUAUAUGCGUCGUUGCUGUAGUUGUGUGUACCUGUGAUCUGCAUUUUGGACUCACAGUUUGAGAUCCUUUUGGUAAUCAAUUGUUGUACUGCAAGAGGCAACCUGCUUGCAUCUGCAUUUUAAAAUGUAUGUAAAUGAUGUACUCAUUAUCGGACAAACCCUGAUAUUUAUACAACCAGGUUGUUUAUUUUUCAUAACGUUUUCUUCAUACUAUCACAUAAAUGCACAACAAAACCUCAAGGUGCUUUACGAUUUUGGAGGUGUGUACAGUGUGAGCCUCUGCUACCUGCUAUUAAAUAAGUAUUGUGAACGAAAGAAAGCAUGUUUAAUGUAUAACCCGAACAUAGGAAGAAAAUAGCUGUUUAGAGUCUGUGCAGUUUAGUGAUCAUUUUGCAUAAUUUUGCCUUUUUUAGUUACUUCUCAGAUUACAUUCUCAGAUAAGCGACUCAAUUUAAUACGGGAAAUCCUGAUUGCUGCAGACGCACAAAAAAUGUCUCUGCGUUGAAUGCUCACAUUUCAGGACCUUUCAGCCGAGAUCGAAGGUAACUCUUAAUGCCAUGUCGGUGACAUAGCGGCUAAUACUGUUGCACAUACUACUUUUUCAGUGAGCAGGUAGACGACCUCUGUUGGCAGGGUGAUGAUAAGAAGAUUCAGCAAUAAUAAAAAUUCAAUUUGAAGGAAGGAGUGGAAACAACUGUGGUAAGGGAAGAGACAAGAAAGAAGGAACUGGGGGGAAAAAGCAAAUACAGUCAUUCAAGAAAUAACAGGUGGGUGGACACACACACACACACCAUCUGAGCCCUUCGUUACUAAGCUCCUGUUCUCUCAAGAGUUGGAGAGACAGAGGGUGUGCGAGUGUAUGUGUUGGCGCAAAUCCCAGGUACAGUGGGCGGAAUUUGUGUAUUUCUCUUCCUCUUAAUAUCGAAAUGCUCUCUUUGUUUGGAAGCGGGGUCUACAUGUGUGUGUGAGAGCGUGUGUGUUUGUGAGACUUUUUAAAAGAAUGUUCCUGUGCGGUUUCAUUUGUGUGGUCUGUAAUCUAAGUAUUUAAUUUGAAUCCUCAUUAAAGUAGUUUAGUUACCUUAACAUUGAGCGUCUGAAUUGUGCCGUUUUUAAUUUGUUUUUGACUGUAAAAUGCAGCCAAAGCAACCGUUGUCAUAUGACACAUGCUAUAAACCUUGGCUCUAGAGCAGUAUUUGCAUGACUUUCAGGGCAUAUCUGAUAUCACUACCAGGACUGAACAGUAUUUCCCUCAAUAUCUAAUUCUUCUUAAUUAUUUAGUCGCUUUCAGUACUCUGGAAAAAAAACUGUGAACAACAAAAAAAAAUUCAAAACCUUUCUAGUAAGACAGCUCUCUGCACUUUAAUUUGUUCAAAUAAGUUCUCAACGUAAAGAAAAGCUGUCAAACUGUUACUGGACAGAACAUUUGAAGCCAAUUUUGAACUAACUGCUCAUGCAUCUUUGUACUAAUAAUUAAAGGAAUUUGACACGUCAAUCCAAAAAUGGUGACCUAUUUGUAUAACUCCAAGCAAUGAUCCAUUUUCGCCCGGCCUUUUCAUUAUCCCAGCAAUGCACUCAUGA